This 498-nucleotide ribosomal RNA is filed under the name uncultured bacterium. RNAcentral's name for it is "partial 16S ribosomal RNA". It matches the Rfam family "Bacterial small subunit ribosomal RNA", at positions 28 to 507 of the family's 1533-position model. The record is from RNAcentral.
GACGAACGCUGGCGGCGUGCCUAAUACAUGCAAGUCGAACGAGAGCGACCGGUGCUUGCACUGGUCAAUCUAGUGGCGAACGGGUGAGUAACGCGUGGGUAACCUGCCCAUCAGAGGGGGAUAACAUCCGGAAACGGAUGCUAAAACCGCAUAGGUCUUCGAGCCGCAUGGCUUGAAGAGGAAAAGAGGCGCAAGCUUCUGCUGAUGGAUGGACCCGCGGUGCAUUAGCUAGUUGGUGAGGUAACGGCUCACCAAGGCCGUGAUGCAUAGCCGACCUGAGAGGGUGAUCGGCCACAUUGGGACUGAGAAACGGCCCAAACUCCUACGGGAGGCAGCAGUAGGGAAUCUUCCGCAAUGGACGCAAGUCUGACGGAGCAACGCCGCGUGAGUGAAGAAGGUUUUCGGAUCGUAAAACUCUGUUGUUAGAGAAGAACAAGUGCUAGAGUAACUGUUAGCGCCUUGACGGUAUCUAACCAGAAAGCCACGGCUAACUACGUG